Molecule: ribosomal RNA, 825 nt
Filed under: Yarrowia lipolytica
Lineage: Eukaryota; Fungi; Ascomycota; Dipodascomycetes; Dipodascales
Description: LSU rRNA
Rfam family: Eukaryotic large subunit ribosomal RNA
Source: RNAcentral
GCAUAUCAAUAAGCGGAGGAAAAGAAACCAACAGGGAUUGCCUCAGUAACGGCGAGUGAAGCGGCAAAAGCUCAAAUUUGAAACCCUCGGGAUUGUAAUUUGAAGAUUUGGCAUUGGAGAAAGCUAACCCAAGUUGCUUGGAAUAGUACGUCAUAGAGGGUGACAACCCCGUCUGGCUAACCGUUCUCCAUGUAUUGCCUUAUCAAAGAGUCGAGUUGUUUGGGAAUGCAGCUCAAAGUGGGUGGUAAACUCCAUCUAAAGCUAAAUACUGGUGAGAGACCGAUAGCGAACAAGUACUGUGAAGGAAAGGUGAAAAGAACUUUGAAAAGAGAGUGAAAUAGUAUGUGAAAUUGUUGAUAGGGAAGGAAAUGAGUGGAGAGUGGCCGAGGUUUCAGCCGCCCCUCGUGGGCGGUGUACUGCCGACGCCGAGUCAUCGAUAGCGAGACGAGGGUUACAAAUGGGAGCGCCUUUCGGGCGUUCUCCCCUAACCCUCCACACUGCCACCGACGACAUAAUCCACCCAUUUCACCCGUCUUGAAACACGGACCAAGGAGUCUAAUGGAUAUGUGAGUGUUAGGGUGGCAAACCCCAGCGCGCAAUGAAAGUGAAUGGAUUCGUUCAGAAUCGACCGAACUUGAUUAUUAUGACAGUUUUGAGUAAACACAUCCAUUGGGACCCGAAAGAUGGUGAACUAUGCCUGGAUAGGGUGAAGUCAGAGGAAACUCUGAUGGAGGCUCGUAGCGGUUCUGACGUGCAAAUCGAUCGUAGGAUCUGGGUAUAGGGGCGAAAGACUAAUCGAACCAUCUAGUAGCUGGUUCCUGCCGA